RNAcentral lists this ribosomal RNA (774 nucleotides) under uncultured Neocallimastigales. Its description in RNAcentral is "partial large subunit ribosomal RNA". It matches the Rfam family "Eukaryotic large subunit ribosomal RNA", at positions 24 to 629 of the family's 3401-position model. The record is from RNAcentral. Lineage: Eukaryota; Fungi; Neocallimastigomycota; Neocallimastigomycetes; Neocallimastigales.
AUCUCUGUAGAGUCUGCAUAUCAAUAAGCGGAGGAAAAGAAACUAACUAGGAUUCCCUCAGUAACGGCGAGUGAAGCGGGAAGAGCUCAAAUUUGAAAUCUUCAAGGUUUUACCUUGACGAAUUGUAGUCUAAAGAAGUGUUUUCUGUUGAAGUUUCGGUAAAAGUUCUUUGGAAUAGGACAUCAUAGAGGGUGAGAAUCCCGUAUUUGACCGUUAUUUUCAGCUGUGUGAUACACUUUCAAAGAGUCGGAUUGUUUGGGAAUGCAGUCCAAAAUGGGUGGUAAAUUUCAUCUAAAGCUAAAUAUUGGCGAGAGACCGAUAGCGAACAAGUACCGUGAGGGAAAGAUGAAAAGAACUUUGAAAAGAGAGUUAAACAGUACGUGAAAUUGUCAAAAGGGAAGCGUUUGACACCAGUGUUGUUUUCUCGAAAAUCAAUUAAAAAAGGCAGGAUUUUGUGUUGUAUUGACUUUAUCAGCUUUCUGCACUCUUUUCUUGUCUUUUUUUAAUGCACUUUUCGUUUAACAAGUCAACAUCAAUUUCUUUUGUUGUAAAAGAGUCAUUGGAAGGUGGCUUUCACUUCGGUGAAAGUGUUUAUAGCCUUCGGCUUCUGCAAUCGGAGAGAUUGAGGUCUGCAGCGUAGAUCCUUCGGGGCUAGAUAUGUAGAUGCUAAGUUAUAGUUUUUUAUAGACAACUUGUUGACUAUAAUUAAUCAUGUAGCUUACUCGUUUGCGCUAUUUUACCUACGCUUAGGAUGUUGAUAGUCACAGCGUGUAC